AAUGAACGUUGGCGGCGUGGAUUAGGCAUGCAAGUCGAGCGAGAACCCGCCAAGGGGGACAGCGGCAAACGGGGUAGGAAUGGUCGGUAACGUACCCUUCGGACGGGGAUAGCCACGGGAAACUGUGGGUAAUACCCGAUAACCUCCUUUCUUGUAACGGAGAGAGGAGCAAAGGUGAGAUUCCACCGGAGGAGCGGCUGACUUAGUAUUAGCUAGUUGGUGAGGUAAAAGCUUACCAAGGCAUCGAUGCUUAAGGGGGUGUGAGAGCAUGGCCCCCACCACUGGGACUGAGAUACUGCCCAGACACCUACGGGUGGCUGCAGUCGAGGAUCUUCGGCAAUGGGCGCAAGCCUGACCGAGCGACGCCGCGUGUGGGAUGAAGGCCCUUGGGUUGUAAACCACUGUCAGGGGGGACGAAAAUGCGCGCGGGUACUCCCGUGCGUUUGACAGAGCCCCAGAGGAAGCACGGGCUAAAGUUCGUGCCAGCAGCCGCGGUAA
This 498-nucleotide ribosomal RNA is filed under the name uncultured bacterium. Its description in RNAcentral is "bacterial SSU rRNA". It matches the Rfam family "Bacterial small subunit ribosomal RNA", at positions 29 to 523 of the family's 1533-position model. The record is from RNAcentral.